ACCCAGCUGACGAGUCCCAAAUAGGACGAAACGCGCGUUCUGGAU
Schistosoma mattheei is the source of this 45-nucleotide non-coding RNA. The record is from Rfam. NCBI's taxonomy places the organism in Eukaryota, Metazoa, Platyhelminthes, Trematoda, Strigeidida, Schistosomatidae.